RNAcentral lists this ribosomal RNA (1662 nucleotides) under Cafeteria roenbergensis. Its description in RNAcentral is "small subunit ribosomal RNA". It matches the Rfam family "Bacterial small subunit ribosomal RNA". The record is from RNAcentral. Lineage: Eukaryota; Bigyra; Bicosoecida; Cafeteriaceae.
AAUUAAAUGGGUUUGAUCCUGGCUCAGAGUGAACGCUUAUGGUAUGCUUUACACAUGCAAGUUUAAUGAGAAAAAGAAUAAUAUUAUUGAUCUUUUUAAUAUUAUUCUUUUAUUAUAGCGAACGGGUGAGUAAAAACUUUUUUUUACCAAUCAAUUUAAGAAAUUCGUGCAAUAUGAAAAUCUUAAAUAAAAAAAUUUUUUUAGGAAAAUUUGUAAAAGACUAUACGUUGUUGAUUGAUGAAAAAAGAAAGUAUUAGGUUGUUGGUUUUCCAAGCCGAAGAUGCUUAGUUGGUCUGAGAGGAUGUACAACCACAUUGGGACUGAGACAAGGCCCUGACUUUUAAAGGCUGCAGUGGGGAAUAUUGGACAAUGAGAGAAAUCUUGAUCCAGCAAAAUCAGAUGGUAGGACGCCGACACAAGAAGGCUGUAAGAGUAUUCAGGCGAGGUUGUAAAUAUCUAAUAAAAAAAAAGAUGAUGACUUUUUUUUAGAAUAGUCCCGGUAAACUUCGUGCCAGCAGCCGCGGUAAUACGAAGGGGGCAAGCGUUAUUCAAAAAAACUGGGCGUAAAGGGCUUUUAGAUGGUAUAAAGAGAGUUAUUAGCUAAAGUUCUUAAUUAAGGUAAGAAUUGUCUAAUAAAACAUUUAAACUUUGAGUAGCAAGUGGAUAGGAUUUAUUUUUUUAGUUGAGGUGGCAUUCGUCUAUAAAAAAAGGAGGAUCUUGGGUGAAAACAUCCUAUUGUUUGCGUACUGACGUCAAUAAAGCAAAAGCAUAGGGAGCAAACAGGAUUAGAUAUCCUGGUAGUCUAUGCCCUGACCGAUGGGUAUUAAAAAAUUAAUGUGUUUUUAUAAUUAACGUGUAAAUACUUCGCCUGGGGACUACGGUCGCAAGACUAAAACUCAAAGGAAUUGACGGGGGCUCUUUACAAACGGUGGAGCAUGUGGUUUAAUCUGAUAAUCCGCGUAAAACCUUACCAGUUCUAACUCGGUGUUGCAUGGCUGUCGUCAGCCCGUGUUGUGAAAUGUAGUGCUUGGGCAUUCAACGGGCAAGACCCUCAAUAAAAUUUUAUAUAAAUUUUAGAAAGAUAGUUUAAGGAGGAGUGAUUAUUCUUUGGGAAUCAAAGGAUUAUUUGCGUAAAAGCUUAUAAUUUAGAAUCCCUAUUUUAAAAAAGUAAGUAGUACUUGCUUUAACAAAAUUGUGAAAAAUGUUUACUCUUGCUUCUAAGGAAAUGAGGUUGAAGUCAAGUCGUCAUGGCUCUUCGAACUGGGCUACACAUGUGCUACAAUGAUUAUUACAAAAUAUAAAAUUUUUUUUAUAAAGUGAAACAGUGAUGAAAUUUUUUUGAAAAAUAAUCUUAGUACGGAGUAUAAACUGCAACUCGUUUAUAUGAAGUAGGAAUCGUUAGUAAUCGUGAAUCAGAACGUUACGGUGAAUAGACUUAGGGUCGUGUACACACCGCCCGUCACGUCAGGGGAGUAAAAUUGGCCUGAACAUUCAAUACUAUAUUUUCGAGGAAAAUUUUAUAGGCUUAAAACUAUUAAGGUUUAAGUUAUAUAUUUAAAUUUUCAACUUGAAUUUUUAGUUUGGUGGAGGGACGAUUUUGUGACCGUGAUGAAGUCGUAACAAGGUAAUCGUAAGGGAACUUGCGGUUGGAAAGAACUAUAU